CGAAAACGAAUUCUCUCUUGAGUGGAUCCUGAGUACGACGGAGCACGUGAAAUUCCGUCGGAAUCUGGGAGGACCAUCUCCUAAGGCUAAAUACUCUCUAGUGACCGAUAGUGAACCAGUACCGUGAGGGAAAGGUGAAAAGUACCCCGGAAGGGGAGUGAAAGAGAACUUGAAACCGUGUGCUUACAAGUAGUCAGAGCCCGUUAAUGGGUGAUGGCGUGCCUUUUGUAGAAUGAACCGGCGAGUUACGAUCUGAUGCAAGGUUAAGCAGAAAAUGUGGAGCCGUAGCGAAAGCGAGUCUGAAUAGGGCGAAUGAGUAUUUGGUCGUAGACCCGAAACCAGGUGAUCUACCCUUGGUCAGGUUGAAGUUCAGGUAACACUGAAUGGAGGACCGAACCGACUUACGUUGAAAAGUGAGCGGAUGAACUGAGGGUAGCGGAGAAAUUCCAAUCGAACUUGGAGAUAGCUGGUUCUCUCCGAAAUAGCUUUAGGGCUAGCCUCAAGUGAUGAUUAUUGGAGGUAGAGCACUGUUUGGAC
RNAcentral lists this ribosomal RNA (537 nucleotides) under Staphylococcus pseudintermedius. RNAcentral describes it as "partial 23S ribosomal RNA". It matches the Rfam family "Bacterial large subunit ribosomal RNA", at positions 380 to 919 of the family's 2925-position model. Lineage: Bacteria; Bacillati; Bacillota; Bacilli; Caryophanales; Staphylococcaceae. The record is from RNAcentral.